ACUUGCGGGAGCUUGCUCCCAAAAGUUAGCGGCGGACGGGUGAGUAACACGUGGGCAACCUGCCUAUAAGACUGGGAUAACUUCGGGAAACCGGAGCUAAUACCGGAUCAUUCUUUUCUACGCAUGUAGGAAAGCUGAAAGACGGCUUACGCUGUCACUUAUAGAUGGGCCCGCGGCGCAUUAGCUAGUUGGUGAGGUAACGGCUCACCAAGGCCGGGAUGCGUAGCCGACCUGAGAGGGUGAUCGGCCACACUGGGACUGAGACACGGCCCAGAGACCUACGGGAGGCAGCAUUCUG
Molecule: unclassified non-coding RNA, 298 nt
Filed under: uncultured bacterium
Lineage: Bacteria
Description: partial contains 16S ribosomal RNA and 16S-23S ribosomal RNA intergenic spacer region
Rfam family: Bacterial small subunit ribosomal RNA
Source: RNAcentral